This 501-nucleotide ribosomal RNA is filed under the name uncultured bacterium. Its description in RNAcentral is "bacterial SSU rRNA". It matches the Rfam family "Bacterial small subunit ribosomal RNA", at positions 28 to 521 of the family's 1533-position model. The record is from RNAcentral.
GACGAACGCUGGCGGCGUGGAUUAGGCAUGCAAGUCGAACGGUAUCAUCCUUUCGGGGGUGAGAGAGUGGCGAACUGGUGAGUAACACGUAGGUUAUCUACCCUCAAGACGGGGACAACCCAGGGAAACUUGGGCUAAUACCGGAUGUGAGCAACUUUUAGUUGUUUGAAAGGUGGCGUAAGCUGUCGCUUGGGGAUGAGCCUGCGUCCUAUUAGUUAGUUGGUGAGGUAACGGCUCACCUAGGCAAUGAUAGGUAGGCGGCCUUAACGGGUGGUCGCCCACACUGGGAUUGAGAUACGGCCCAGACUCCUACGGGAGGCAGCAGUCGAGAAUAGUCUACAAUGGUCGGAAGACUGAUAGUGCGACGCCGCGUGAACGAUGAAUCCCUUCGGGGUGUAAAGUUCUUUUAUAUGUGAGCAGUGCUUCUUAUAUUAACAGUAUGGGGAGAGAGAUAUUAGCAUAUGAAUAAGCAACGCUAACUCCGUGCCAGCAGCCGACGGU